This 253-nucleotide unclassified non-coding RNA is filed under the name uncultured Rhodobacterales bacterium. RNAcentral describes it as "contains 16S-23S intergenic spacer region". It matches the Rfam family "Bacterial small subunit ribosomal RNA", at positions 524 to 776 of the family's 1533-position model. Lineage: Bacteria; Pseudomonadati; Pseudomonadota; Alphaproteobacteria; Rhodobacterales. The record is from RNAcentral.
UACGGAGGGGGUUAGCGUUGUUCGGAAUUACUGGGCGUAAAGCGCGCGUAGGCGGGCUGUUAAGUCAGAGGUGAAAUCCCGGGGCUCAACCCCGGAACUGCCUUUGAUACUGGCAGCCUGGAGUUCGAGAGAGGUGAGUGGAAUUCCGAGUGUAGAGGUGAAAGUCGUAGAUAUUCGGAGGAACACCAGUGGCAAUGGCGGCUCACUGGCUCGAUACUGACGCUGAGGUGCGAAAGCGUGGGGAGCAAACAGG